ACGGAAGGCAGCAGUGGGGAAUCUUGCGCAAUGGGCGAAAGCCUGACGCAGCGACACCGCGUGGGGGACGAAGGCCUUUCAGGUCGUAAACCCCUUUCGGCAGGGACGAAGCGACACCGUGACGGUACCUGCAGAAGAAGCCUCGGCUAACUACGUGCCAGCAGCCGCGGUAACACGUAGGAGGCGAGCGUUGUCCGGAAUCAUUGGGCGUAAAGAGCGCGCAGGCGGCUUGGCAAGUCGGGUGUGAAAUCCCGGGGCUCAACCCCGUGACUGCAUUCGAUACUGUCAGGCUAGAGGUAGGUAGGGGAGAUCGGAAUUCCUGGUGUAGCGGUGAAAUGCGCAGAUAUCAGGAGGAACACCGGUGGCGAAGGCGGAUCUCUGGGCCUUACCUGACGCUCAGGCGCGAAAGCUAGGGGAGCGAACAGGAUUAGAUACCCUGGUA
This 442-nucleotide ribosomal RNA is filed under the name uncultured Actinomycetes bacterium. Its description in RNAcentral is "bacterial SSU rRNA". It matches the Rfam family "Bacterial small subunit ribosomal RNA", at positions 341 to 792 of the family's 1533-position model. The record is from RNAcentral. Lineage: Bacteria; Bacillati; Actinomycetota; Actinomycetes.